UUGGGCAAUGGGCGAAAGCCUGACCCAGCCACGCCGCGUGUGUGAUGAAGGCUUCGGGUCGUAAAGCACUGUGGGGAGAGACGAAACAGCGCAUCAGGAAAUGGUUGCGCCUUGACGGUACCUCCUUAGCAAGCACCGGCUAACUCUGUGCCAGCAGCCGCGGUAAUACAGAGGGUGCAAACGUUGCUCGGAUUUACUGGGCGUAAAGCGCGUGUAGGCGGACUCGCAAGUCGGUUGUGAAAUCCCUGGGCUCAACCUAGGAACUGCAUCCGAAACUGCUUGUCUUGAGUAAUGGAGAGGGUGGCGGAAUUCCCGGUGUAGAGGUGAAAUUCGUAGAUAUCGGGAGGAACAUCAGUGGCGAAGGCGGCCACCUGGACAUUUACUGACGCUGAGACGCGAAAGCGUGGGGAGCAAACAGGAUAUAGAUACCCUGGUAGUCCACGCCGUAAACGAUGAGAACUAGGUGCAGCGGAUAUUGA
This 479-nucleotide ribosomal RNA is filed under the name uncultured delta proteobacterium. Its description in RNAcentral is "bacterial SSU rRNA". It matches the Rfam family "Bacterial small subunit ribosomal RNA", at positions 364 to 835 of the family's 1533-position model. Lineage: Bacteria; Deltaproteobacteria. The record is from RNAcentral.